AGAGUUUGAUCCUGGCUCAGAUUGAACGCUGGCGGUAUGCUUAACACAUGCAAGUCGAACGGUAGCAGGCCUUCGGGCGCUGACGAGUGGCGGACGGGUGAGUAACGCGUAGGAAUCUGCCCUGUAGUGGGGGACAACUUAUGGAAACGUAAGCUAAUACCGCAUACGCCCUUCGGGGGAAAGCGGGGGAUCUUCGGACCUCGCGCUAUAGGAUGAGCCUGCGUUGGAUUAGCUAGUUGGUAGGGUAAAGGCCUACCAAGGCGACGAUCCAUAGCUGGUCUGAGAGGACGAUCAGCCACACUGGGACUGAGACACGGCCCAGACUCCUACGGGAGGCAGCAGUGGGGAAUAUUGGACAAUGGGCGCAAGCCUGAUCCAGCAAUACCGCGUGUGUGAAGAAGGCCUGAGGGUUGUAAAGCACUUUCAAUUGGGAGGAAAAAGGCAAGCUUAAUACGUUUGCCCUUGACAUUACCUUUAGAAGAAGCACCGGCUAACUCCGUGCCAGCAGCCGCGGUAAU
RNAcentral lists this ribosomal RNA (518 nucleotides) under uncultured bacterium. RNAcentral describes it as "bacterial SSU rRNA". It matches the Rfam family "Bacterial small subunit ribosomal RNA", at positions 8 to 524 of the family's 1533-position model. The record is from RNAcentral.